GGGGUGGUAGCUCAGUGGUAGAGUAUGGGAUUGCAGCGGGCUUACGUAAGCUGCAAUUAUCCUAGGGUCCCGUGUUCGAUCCACGGUCGCCCCU
Non-coding RNA from Zalaria obscura, 94 nucleotides. Lineage: Eukaryota; Fungi; Ascomycota; Dothideomycetes; Dothideales; Zalariaceae. The record is from the annotation of a GenBank genome assembly.